UACAGAGACUGCAAGCGUUAUUCGGAUUCACUGGGCGUAAAGGGUGCGCAGGCGGCCAAGUGUGUGAGGCGUGAAAGCCCGGGGCUUAACUCCGGAAUUGCACCUCAAACUACAUGGCUAGAGCAUUGGAGAGGGUAGCAGAAUUCACGGUGUAGCAGUGAAAUGCGUAGAUAUCGUGAGGAAUACCAGAGGCGAAGGCGGCUACCUGGACAAUUGCUGACGCUCAGGCACGAAAGCAUGGGGAGCAAACAGG
RNAcentral lists this ribosomal RNA (253 nucleotides) under uncultured bacterium. Its description in RNAcentral is "partial 16S ribosomal RNA". It matches the Rfam family "Bacterial small subunit ribosomal RNA", at positions 524 to 776 of the family's 1533-position model. The record is from RNAcentral.